AGAACGAACGCUGGCGGCACGCCUAACACAUGCAAGUCGAGCGCCCAGCAAUGGGAGCGGCGGACGGGUGAGUAACACGUGGGAACAUGCCUUUCGGUACGGAACAACUGCGGGAAACUGCAGCUAAUGCCGUAUACGCCCUUACGGGGAAAGAUUUAUCGCCGAAAGAUUGGCCCGCGUCUGAUUAGCUAGUUGGUGAGGUAACGGCUCACCAAGGCUUCGAUCAGUAGCUGGUUUGAGAGAACGACCAGCCACAUUGGGACUGAGACACGGCCCAAACUCCUACGGGAGGCAGCAGUGGGGAAUCUUGGACAAUGGGGAAACCCUGAUCCAGCGAUGCCGCGUGAGUGAUGAAGGCCUUCGGGUUGUAAAACUCUUUCGACGGGACGAUAAUGACGGUACCCGUAGAAGAAGCUCCGGCUAACUUCGUGCCAGCAGCCGC
Molecule: ribosomal RNA, 442 nt
Filed under: uncultured bacterium
Lineage: Bacteria
Description: SSU rRNA
Rfam family: Bacterial small subunit ribosomal RNA
Source: RNAcentral